This 468-nucleotide ribosomal RNA is filed under the name uncultured bacterium. RNAcentral describes it as "partial 16S ribosomal RNA". It matches the Rfam family "Bacterial small subunit ribosomal RNA", at positions 28 to 507 of the family's 1533-position model. The record is from RNAcentral.
GACGAACGCUGGCGGCGUGCUUAACACAUGCAAGUCGAACGGAAAGGCCCUGCUUUUGUGGGGUGCUCGAGUGGCGAACGGGUGAGUAACACGUGAGUAACCUGCCCUUGACUUUGGGAUAACUUCAGGAAACUGGGGCUAAUACCGGAUAGGAGCUCCUGCUGCAUGGUGGGGGUUGGAAAGUUUCGGCGGUUGGGGAUGGACUCGCGGCUUAUCAGCUUGUUGGUGGGGUAGUGGCUUACCAAGGCUUUGACGGGUAGCCGGCCUGAGAGGGUGACCGGCCACAUUGGUACUGAGAUACGGCCCAGACUCCAACGGGGGGCAGCAGUGGGGAAUAUUGCACAAUAGGCGGAAGCCGGAUGCAGCAACGCCGCGUGCGGGAUGACGGCCUUCGGGUUGUAAACCGCUUUCGCCUGUGACGAAGCGUGAGUGACGGUAAUGGGUAAAGAAGCACCGGCUAACUACGUG